GUUCCAACGAAAACUCCAAGAAAAUACCGAAAAAGCUUUUCGUAAAACCGAGAAGACCAAAUUAGAGAAGUAUAGAAACUCUAACCAAAUUCCUUUAUACCGUUGCUUCGAAGAAUCCGAACCGCUCAGGCAAUUGGUUGAGAAACGCCGCUCCACCGCCAACGUCAAUCCGUCGCAUGCGUGCUACCGCGCAUCUCCUUCUCUUGCUACCGUCGUACGGCUCCUGGAACCAUGAAUUAAUUA
RNAcentral lists this long non-coding RNA (243 nucleotides) under Ananas comosus (pineapple). RNAcentral describes it as "long non-coding RNA (ACOM_LNC041325)". Lineage: Eukaryota; Viridiplantae; Streptophyta; Magnoliopsida; Poales; Bromeliaceae. The record is from RNAcentral.